RNAcentral lists this ribosomal RNA (852 nucleotides) under uncultured marine group I thaumarchaeote. RNAcentral describes it as "SSU rRNA". It matches the Rfam family "Archaeal small subunit ribosomal RNA", at positions 49 to 906 of the family's 1478-position model. The record is from RNAcentral. Lineage: Archaea; Thermoproteati; Nitrososphaerota.
CCAUGCGAGUCUUUGUAGUAAUACAAGGCAGACGGCUCAGUAACACGUAGUCAACCUACCCUAUGGACAAGAAUAAUCUCGGGAAACUGGGCAUAAUUCUUGAUAGAUCAUAAUGCCUGGAAUGGCUUAUGGUUAAAAUGAUUCGUCGCCAUAGGAUGGGACUGCGGCCUAUCAGCUUGUUGGUGAGGUAAUGGCCCACCAAGGCGAUUACAGGUACGGGCUCUGAGAGGAGAAGCCCGGAGAUGGGUACUGAGACACGGACCCAGGCCCUAUGGGGCGCAGCAGGCGAGAAAACUUUGCAAUGUGCGAAAGCACGACAAGGUUAAUCCGAGUGAUUUCUGCUAAAGAAAUCUUUUGCCAGUCGUAAAACCGCUGGUGAAUAAGGGGUGGGCAAGUUCUGGUGUCAGCCGCCGCGGUAAAACCAGCACCUCAAGUGGUCAGGAUGAUUAUUGGGCCUAAAGCAUCCGUAGCCGGCUUUGUAAGUUUUCGGUUAAAUCCAUGUGCUCAACGCAUGGGCUGCCGAAAAUACUGCAUAGCUAGGGAGUGGGAGAGGUAGACGGUACUCAGUAGGUAGGGGUAAAAUCCUUUGAUCUAUUGAUGACCACCUGUGGCGAAGGCGGUCUACCAGAACACGUUCGACGGUGAGGGAUGAAAGCUGGGGGAGCAAACCGGAUUAGAUAUCCGGGUAGUCCCAGCUGUAAACGAUGCAGACUAGAUGAUGCAUUGGCAUAAUAGCCAUUGCAGUGUCUCAGGGAAGCCGUUAAGUCUGCCGCCUGGGAAGUACGUACGCAAGUAUGAAACUUAAAGGAAUUGGCGGGGGAGCACCACAAGGGGUGAAGCCUGCGGUUCAAU